UACUAUUUCGCCCAUGUUGGUGCGCUAUUUUUAAUUAUAGCCUGAAUAGGGAAUCUGGUGAAAAUCCAGAACUGACGCGCAGCGGUAAGAGAGAACGAAGGUACAAUUUUUCACACUGUUAAUUUUAGAUGUUUAAGGAUAUCGACGAAUAAUGGGAAGUGAGUACUCUAGGUUAACUGCUCUCAAGUCCGAAGACCUGCCAGCAAUAAGUAAUACAU
Molecule: non-coding RNA, 218 nt
Filed under: Aliivibrio fischeri
Lineage: Bacteria; Pseudomonadati; Pseudomonadota; Gammaproteobacteria; Vibrionales; Vibrionaceae
Also listed under: 1 other name
Source: RNAcentral